UAGGGAAUAUUGGACAAUGGGGGCAACCCUGAUCCAGCCAUGCCGCGUGAGUGAAGAAGGCCCUCGGGUUGUAAAGCUCUUUUGUCCGGAAAGAAAAGCUUCGGGUUAAUACCCCGGGGUUCUGACGGUACCGGAAGAAUAAGCACCGGCUAACUUCGUGCCAGCAGCCGCGGUAAUACGAAGGGUGCAAGCGUUACUCGGAAUUACUGGGCGUAAAGCGUGCGUAGGUGGUUGUUUAAGUCUGAUGUGAAAGCCCUGGGCUCAACCUGGGAAUGGCAUUGGAAACUGGGCAGCUACAGUGCGGUAGAGGGUAGUGGAAGUCCCGGUGUAGCAGUGAAAUGCGUAGAGAUCGGGAGGAACAUCUGUGGCGAAGGGGACUGCCUGGACCAGCACUGACACUGAGGCACGAAAGCGUGGGGAGCAAACA
Molecule: ribosomal RNA, 427 nt
Filed under: uncultured bacterium
Lineage: Bacteria
Description: bacterial SSU rRNA
Rfam family: Bacterial small subunit ribosomal RNA
Source: RNAcentral